Long non-coding RNA from Arachis duranensis, 564 nucleotides. RefSeq lists it as uncharacterized. NCBI's taxonomy places the organism in Eukaryota, Viridiplantae, Streptophyta, Magnoliopsida, Fabales, Fabaceae. The record is from RefSeq and is a predicted model, not a curated record. The transcript is spliced from 2 exons.
UAUAACGUUUUGUUUAUCAUUAAGUACCUAUAAAUACUAAAGGACCAAUCUUUUAUAAAGCAUAACCAUUAAAAACACAACAAAAAUAAAUUUUUCAAACCAAAUUAAACAUCAUGAAAAUCUUAUUUUAUUUCUCCAUCCUCUUACUUGUUCUUUCCGUUGGUUUUGGAAAUAACCAAUUGCAAGUAAUAGCACAAUCAAACAAAUAUUGUGUUACAGAAAUAGGCAACAUUUAUUGUCUUCCACCUGCAGAACCAGAUGAUUGUUCUAAAGAGUGCACAAGUUUUGUUGGUAGAUCACCAGCCAUAGGAACAUGUAAUAAAUUUACAAACGAAUGCACUUGUGUCUAUCACCCACCAUGUAAGCACCUAUAGGAGUAUGUGAUUGAGCAGUCACAUAUAUCGUUCACCUUUUUCUUCGUGGGGGUAUAUGUAUUCACCUUUUACUAAGUAAAACAAUGGUGAACCAAAUACAACAUCAAACAAAUAAACAAAGUGCGUGAUUGUACUAUUAUUUUCAAUUUAUCAAAUAAUAAUAAAGUAGUGGUUCUAUAUUGUUUAUCAA